GGUAGCAGGAAACAGAAACCGCCGCCGGCGAGGCUGAACCGAAACCUGCCGAGUGCGCGGAGUGCGGCGCCCGGUUGCGGGCCGCGCAAAGGCGGGUUUCUGCGGCUGCCGAGGCCCCGCGUGCUCCCGAGACGCUUCCCGGGAUGGGGCGGGUGAGGGGUUGCCUGGUGUUCUGUGUGGCCUAAGCUCGCUUUUAGGACCGGCGACAAUCUAAGCAAACAUCCUACAUUGCGUGUGACAGACGAGGAAACUGAGGUUCGGCCAGGAGCAGGCCCCCCCUCGCCGAUCGGCAGUGCCGUGGGUUAUGAUGGAGGGAAGGCGACCUCACCACUGCCGGAGCUGAGUUACCUGUGAGUCCUCCUCUUCCUCCCUGGGAGACUCUCCCCUCUCCUGUGGCUUCACUGCGUGGGACACAGAGAACACUGAGACCUGGAGGGAAACCUCGUGGGCACCGAGCUCGGGUGCUCAUCUGUCCCCUGUUCCUCCCCUCGCUCCCACCUCCCACCUGGCUGGGCUGCCUUAGCCACCUGGGGCAACGGGGUGGACGCAGGAGUCUCUGUCUUUCCCCUUUGUCUCUAAAAGGAAAAUCCUGAUUCUCUUUAUCUACAGUGCCGAGAUUGAAUUUUCUUUAUUCAUUAAAAUAUUUGUGAGUGUUUAUUAUUUCCUUCUAAUGUCUGUGAUUUGGUCUUUGAUCUGCAUUGAGACAAACCCACGACAGAGACGCCUGUGUCGUGGGAUUGUAGCCGUGGCCACUGUGGUGGGUGAUGAGAGCAUCCACGUGGACACGUGCUGGGCCUUUCCUGUCUCAGAAUUGCUUCUGCCAUCCUUCUAAGCAGCUGGGAAUCAGUGAACAUUUUGACACAAAUCAUGCAUGAUCAAGCAUUUCAUCCUUACGUGUUCUGAGACUAUGUAUAUUGAUGUAUUUUGUUUUGUUGGUGUUUGAGAUAGGGCCUCACUGUGCAAUCCUGGCCAGCCUCAAACUCAUAGCUGUCUUCCUGGCUCAGCCUCCUGAGUGGUGGGAUUACAGAUGUGUGCCACCACACCCAGCAUGGUUUAUCUAUUUCAACUUUGUGCCUGUACCUUUUACAAAACACCAAGGCAAUCCAGUGAAAUAAAAAGUUUGUUUCUA
Molecule: long non-coding RNA, 1129 nt
Organism: Cavia porcellus (domestic guinea pig)
Lineage: Eukaryota; Metazoa; Chordata; Mammalia; Rodentia; Caviidae
Exons: 2
Source: RefSeq, a predicted model, not a curated record